Molecule: non-coding RNA, 28 nt
Filed under: Mus musculus (house mouse)
Lineage: Eukaryota; Metazoa; Chordata; Mammalia; Rodentia; Muridae
Source: RNAcentral
UCCUGAACCUGUCAUUUGAUGCCAUCUC